ACGAGUUGUACCACGAUACACUGAAGUUAAGGAAUAAACAAGACAUUGUGUUCGGGACAAGAAUUUUCAGUAUUCCACCAUUGACGUAGUUAUAGAUGCAGUAAGCGACUACAGACAGUAUAUACACAGAUUGCUACUCAGGGACUGAAAUGUGAGGCUCUGCGCGUGUCUGGAAUGUCUCGCCGAGGUCUUGCGGGACACGCCAGCCCAGCCAAGCGAUCCAUUUCAUUUAUACACUGCAAAGAAUGAGUCAUUGUUCAGGGCAUGGCGUGAAAACUGCUGUGCGUCUGUGAGUGAAGAUUAACUGUGAAAAUGACCUUGGUGUAAUUGGAUUGCCUGAGGUAAUGGGUUAGUCAAUCUAUAAGGAAAUGGCAAGAUGAGUGAAUUAAUGACUGUUGUGGGUUUAAUUAGUGAGUCUUAUAUAAAACAAUGAAAGAAUAGCAAAGCAAUGACCAGAGUAGAAAAAUGAAUGGGGGAGUAAUGAUGCUGCUGUUGUUGUGAGGGUGCUUAUAUUACCAGGUUAAUGAAUGUGAUAGAAAAAGAAUGGAAGGAAAGACGGGGAAUUAAAAUAAUGAUCUUGUGGUGGUUUGUUACUCGUAGUGAUACUGUCAAUGGUCUGGUAGAAAAAGAAUAAGAAGAAACGCGCGUAAUAAAUCUUUCUAGGUUGUGAUUGAAGUUAGUGUGUUAAAUAGACGGUGUUAGAGAUUUGAAAGAGAUAAGGGGCGACGUAGCGACUUUCUUGUUUUGGUUUAUCAGGAUACUAUAGCUUUUAUUGAUUAGUCUAAUAGAGGAAAAAUAAAAGAAAGCAACGAAUUAUUGACUACGGUUUUGUUGUGCUGAAGUGAAUAGGUUAAUCAGGCUGUCCGAUAGAUAAAAGAUCAAAGAAAAGGCGUUAAAGACCAAAUGGCCGUGUUGGUAUUGUGGUGUUUGAGUUAGUGCGGACUCGUCAGUCAAUCCAACAAAUAAAGAAUUAAACGAACAUUGAAGUAGUGACCUUGUUGUUGUUGUUGUUGUUGUUGUUGUUGUUGUUAAGUUAAUUGGGGAUAAAUCUCUAGAUAUAAAGAAGAAAGUUUGCGAAUUAAUGUGUUGUUUGAAGUUAAUGUGGUAAUUAAUUAGUUUAAUAAAGAAAACACUGAAAGAUUGAUAUUAGCGGCGAAAACAUAAUUUGUUGGAAAUAGCACAAUAAUGAGUAAUAAUGUUCAAAUCAAUGACACUGAAAAGAGAGAAGCCAGAGAAACUUGGUAACUUUCAGCUAAAUUGUGUCGGUUCUGAGACAGAGAAGCAGUACUGAAUAAUGUUAGUAAGUUGAAGAGAACCAGAGUAUUUGUGAACGAUGACCUGUGCCAUGCUUCUCAUAAUGUUCUCAAAGCACAACAUUCUGCACUAAAGCAGGCCGGAAGGGAGAACAUCGCGUGUUUCCGCCACACGAGAUUGAUGAUUGAGGAGAGGCAUGUCUCGGAACAAACCAAUGAACCACACGGAUGAAGCGGAGGAGCAUGGGCGCUGCAGUUGAGGGACAUCACCCGUUGGCGUAGGUGGUGGCGGCGAGAGUGGCCCGUCAAGUGCAGCUGCUACUUCCCCCCCCCAACCUCCAGUAGUGCCCCGUCUGGCAGUCAUCCUUCUGCUGGUGUCCCAUGUGCUCCUGAUAUGCAUCACUCUGGUGGUGUGGCCGCCGCUGAUCUUCCCGCUGACGUAGGCGCUCUCGUCUCCUUGGGCCAGUGGGAAAAGGCUCCAAGUGGCAGCGGUGUCCCAGGCAGCGGGAGUAGUGUUGUAUUGCAAGGAUGUGCCACCAACCAGUUCAGAUUGCACAGAGGAGCAGGAAACCAGCCCUGCCUGUGAGAGUGUAAUGCAUGCCUGCCCUGCUUAGGCAACUCUGUGGUGGGUUGGUGUACGUGUGUGUCUCCAUCAAAAAGUGACUAAAUGAAAGUUGUAGAAAUUGAAGAGGAAGGAAAAAGUAAAGUUGUGGAUGACACUACUGAACCUCACCACAAACCUGAGGAGAUGUCUAAACUGGCUGUUUGAGGGGACAGCCCAUUCAGUAAGGUCCCUGCAAAAUGGACACGGUGACCAGACCCACUUCUUACAUUAGAAUUUGAAUAAUGUGCCAAGUUCAUUCCAAGGCUUUGUGUGAAGCAGGGACACAACCAGUAAGAAUAAAUAUAGGAAGAAGAACAAGCUGCCAAAGCAACAAUACUCGGUGAAUCAGCUGAGUCACGUACCUGGUCUCCCCUACUGAGUGCGGCCGUUAGUAGGGUCUAUUGGCAUCCUUGGGUCGCUUGAGCUGAACCUUUAGGCGCUUCAUGCCGAUCUGGAAGCCAUUCAUUGCUUGGAUUGCUGCUUGAGCUGAGGCAGGGUUGUCAAAGCUCACAAACCCUGAAAAUGAUGAUUCCAGUCUGCCUCUCUCUAGUAGGUCUGCUACCACUACAAGCUAAGUGAACACAUGAAAAUAAGAGUGUCUCACCGAAGCACUUGCUCUGGUUGGUGGCUCUAUCAAUGAACACCUUGGAGGAGAUCACAUUUCCAAAAGGAAGGAACAUCUGCAUCAACUCGGCAUCACCAAACUCCUGCGGCAAGUGGUAGAUGAAGAGGUUGCAGCCUUCAGGUCCUGAGAUGGAGCAACCUGCCAAAGUGACACACUGGUUAAUGGGAGAACUGCACCCAGAGACAAUGGCAAAGAGAAUAAAAAGUAUGAGAAGUAAUCUGCUGUUGAGAUCUUUAUGAAACUGUAAGAAUUAGUGUUAUAUGAUUUCUUAUACAAACAUCCAUCAAAGAUGGCUUUAAACAUUUCAUGACAUUCAUGAUUUUUUAAUAAAAGUGGAAAUAUUAA
Portunus trituberculatus (swimming crab) is the source of this 2827-nucleotide long non-coding RNA. RefSeq lists it as uncharacterized. The record is from RefSeq and is a predicted model, not a curated record. The transcript is spliced from 6 exons. NCBI's taxonomy places the organism in Eukaryota, Metazoa, Arthropoda, Malacostraca, Decapoda, Portunidae.